UAUGCUAUACCCAUCUAGUACUUUAGUAACUGUUAGUACAGUCGACUGGCUGAACUCCCGUCACAACUCCUCAGUCCUCGCUAGCUGACUGGCUUUCCGCUUUCCAAGUACUUUCUGUUCGGCAAAAGCACCUUGCUCCUGUUGUGUGGUCCACCUAACCAAGUUACUCCUGUUGCCGUGUUCCACCUAACCAAGUUACUCCUGUUGCCGUGUUCCACCUAACCAAGUUACUCCUGUUGCCGUGUUCCACCUAACCAAGUUACUCCUGUUGCCGUGUUCCACCUAACCAAGUUACUCCUGUUGCCGUGUUCCACCUAACCAAGUUACUCCUGUUGCCGUGUUCCACCUAACCACCUCACAGAGUACAUUGGACGUUGCAGCCAUGGAAUCGCUGUACAGGGCAUCCUCCUCAUCCAGUGGCACAGCAACAUGGAUGAACAGUGCCAUGACUAGCUAUCCCGUGCCGACGGAAUGGCAGCCGCAAACCAAGGACUUUGAGAUGAAAGUGGUCUCGCCGAACUCGGCGGAGUUUCGCAAGAUCCAGUCACACGUACAUGCCUCACUUUCCCGGGCCAAGAUC
This is a long non-coding RNA of Sycon ciliatum, 580 nucleotides long. RefSeq lists it as uncharacterized. Lineage: Eukaryota; Metazoa; Porifera; Calcarea; Leucosolenida; Sycettidae. The record is from RefSeq and is a predicted model, not a curated record. The transcript has 3 exons.